RNAcentral lists this ribosomal RNA (253 nucleotides) under uncultured bacterium. RNAcentral describes it as "partial 16S ribosomal RNA". It matches the Rfam family "Bacterial small subunit ribosomal RNA", at positions 524 to 776 of the family's 1533-position model. The record is from RNAcentral.
UACGUAGGGUGCGAGCGUUGUCCGGAAUUACUGGGCGUAAAGAGCUCGUAGGUGGUUUGUCGCGUUGUUCGUGAAAACCGGGGGCUUAACCCUCGGCGUGCGGGCGAUACGGGCAGACUGGAGUACUGCAGGGGAGACUGGAAUUCCUGGUGUAGCGGUGAAAUGCGCAGAUAUCAGGAGGAACACCGGUGGCGAAGGCGGGUCUCUGGGCCGAUAUUGACGCUGAGGAGCGAAAGCGUGGGGAGCAAACAGG